GGAUUAGAUACCCGGGUAGUCCACGCCGUAAACUAUGGAUGCUAGCUGUUAGAGGUAUCGACCCCUCUAGUAGCGAAGCUAACGCGUUAAGCAUCCCGCCUGUGGAGUACGGUCGCAAGACUAAAACAUAAAGGAAUUGACGGGGACCCGCACAAGCGGUGGAGCGUGUUGUUUAAUUCGAUGGUAAACGAAGAACCUUACCCAGGUUUGACAUCCUGCGAACCCUGGCGAAAGUCGGGGGUGCUUUAUUGAGCGCAGUGACAGGUGUUGCAUGGCCGUCGUCAGCUCGUGUCGUGAGAUGUUUGGUUAAGUCCAUCAACGAGCGCAACCCUUAUGGUCUGUUGUAUUUUUCAGGCCAGACUGCCCUGGUAACAGGGAGGAAGGAGGGGAUGAU
This 394-nucleotide ribosomal RNA is filed under the name uncultured bacterium. Its description in RNAcentral is "bacterial SSU rRNA". It matches the Rfam family "Bacterial small subunit ribosomal RNA", at positions 775 to 1183 of the family's 1533-position model. The record is from RNAcentral.